UGGGGAAUUUUGGACAAUGGGCGCAAGCCUGAUCCAGCAAUGCCGCGUGCAGGAUGAAGGCCUUCGGGUUGUAAACUGCUUUUGUACGGAACGAAACGGUCUCUCCUAAUACGAGGGGCUAAUGACGGUACCGUAAGAAUAAGCACCGGCUAACUACGUGCCAGCAGCCGCGGUAAUACGUAGGGUGCAAGCGUUAAUCGGAAUUACUGGGCGUAAAGCGUGCGCAGGCGGUGAUGUAAGACAGAUGUGAAAUCCCCGGGCUCAACCUGGGACCUGCAUUUGUGACUGCAUCGCUAGAGUACGGUAGAGGGGGAUGGAAUUCCGCGUGUAGCAGUGAAAUGCGUAGAUAUGCGGAGGAACACCGAUGGCGAAGGCAAUCCCCUGGACCUGUACUGACGCUCAUGCACGAAAGCGUGGGGAGCAAACA
RNAcentral lists this ribosomal RNA (427 nucleotides) under uncultured Comamonadaceae bacterium. RNAcentral describes it as "bacterial SSU rRNA". It matches the Rfam family "Bacterial small subunit ribosomal RNA", at positions 355 to 774 of the family's 1533-position model. Lineage: Bacteria; Pseudomonadati; Pseudomonadota; Betaproteobacteria; Burkholderiales; Comamonadaceae. The record is from RNAcentral.